Molecule: long non-coding RNA, 1197 nt
Organism: Biomphalaria glabrata
Lineage: Eukaryota; Metazoa; Mollusca; Gastropoda; Planorbidae
Exons: 2
Source: RefSeq, a predicted model, not a curated record
AGAAACUAAACGAGAACACGUGUCUGGAUGUAUUUCCAAACUAAUAGAUUAUUUCCAUUUUCUUAGAAAUUGUCUAUUACAACUAAUUAGCUGAACAAGGAAAUAAACCAAAAGGACUAAAAAUACAUUUCUAAAAACAAUUAAUAAAAAAAAAAAAAGAAAAGGGCCCGGCUAUAAUCAUGUGACUAAAGUGACAUGUGUAUAUAAAGAUUGAUUAGAGUAUUGUUGACAGAUUCAGCCCUACUGUAAACUAAGGUAACAGACUGAACCGAGCUCUUAACGUCAUAAUGAAGUCACUGUUAAUGUGUACAUUCUUCCUCCUGUGCAUUGGCCAGUUAAUGACACCUACCGAUGGAAGUGUUAUUGGCAGGUGUUGGGACACCUGGAGCCGAUGUUCAACGUGGAGCAGGUGGUUUACAGGUCGAGUCUGGCUUACGUGUGACGGAAAGUGCCGAGAACUGGGCAAGAGAGGUGGCAACUGUGUGAUGACUCCAUCUACUUGCCCUCUGUCAAGCGAAGCCUUCCAAUGUCAGUGUUACGCAUGACCUGCACUCACGUGACUUUUCUCUAAUAGAAAGGAGAAACGCAUGACACUUCAUUUCUAUUGAUCAAAGACACUACAGUUUUUGUUUUUACAUUUUAAUCUUACAAAGUAUAUACACUACUAAAUCUUUGGAUGAUUGUUUAUAUCUAAUGGAAUGUUGAAAUUAAUAUAUUUCCAUUAAUCUAUGAGUUUGAAUAGUAUGUAUUUUUUAUAUUGUAUAUGUAACAUUCUAAAUGUAUAUUACUAACCAAUAUCAGAAUAGCUUUUAGACACAAUGGAGAUAGGCUUAAAAAAACUUGAUCUUCUUUUUGCUUAUUUUUAAAGAACUCGUUUUCUAUUCCCUGGACUUUCCGUAGUGGAGAAUUUCUUAUCCUGUGGUCAGAGAGGUCAAGGUUGUAGUAACACAUUUUGUAACAGUAUUUCAUUGAUCGGAGUCAUCAACCAACGUACUGUUUCUUCAGUAUUGUCUAAUAGAACUAAAAAUUAUCUUGAGAUAAAUAUGCAUUGGAAUGUAUUCAUCAAGCUUCUUUGUAAAGCGCCAAUAUGCUCCACUAGAUGUCACAUUGUGUCUGUUAUGUAUAUUCUUCUAAUAUUAUUUAAUUCAACGUUCCAUAUAAUAAGCACAAGAAUAGUAAAAGACGUUUUGUUCAUUG